Molecule: long non-coding RNA, 237 nt
Filed under: Phoenix dactylifera (date palm)
Lineage: Eukaryota; Viridiplantae; Streptophyta; Magnoliopsida; Arecales; Arecaceae
Description: long non-coding RNA (PDAC_LNC001481)
Source: RNAcentral
GGCUUCACGCAAGCGUCCUUCACCCCUCCCCGGUUUUGUUUUCCACCCAAAACGCGUCUGCAGGAUUUGGAGACACCCGCCUCAUAUGCCCAGGCUCUGGAACGAGUCUUUCCGAUGUGGGACUAUUGGGCCUCACACCGAGCAGGGGUGCGGGUGGUGAAGUCCGAUGAGGAGAGGCGCCGGUGGAGGAUACCGGAGGUAGAACCCAGCAUGAGCGAGGAUGGUGGGGAACAUCAG